Molecule: ribosomal RNA, 465 nt
Filed under: uncultured bacterium
Lineage: Bacteria
Description: partial 16S ribosomal RNA
Rfam family: Bacterial small subunit ribosomal RNA
Source: RNAcentral
CCUACGGGUGGCAGCAGUGGGGAAUAUUGCGCAAUGGGCGAAAGCCUGACGCAGCGACGCCGCGUGAGUGAUGAAGGUCUUCGGAUCGUAAACCACUGUCAGCAGGGAAGAACGGUCACUGUGCUAAUCAGCAGUGAAUUGACGGUACCUGCAAAGGAAGCACCGGCUAACUCCGUGCCAGCAGCCGCGGUAAUACGGAGGGUGCGAGCGUUAAUCGGAAUUACUGGGCGUAAAGCGCUCGUAGGCGGUAUGUCAAGUCAAGGGUGAAAUCCCCGCGCUCAACGUGGGAACUGCCUUUGAAACUGGCAAGCUGGAGUGUGUGAGAGGAUGGUAGAAUUCCAGGUGUAGGAGUGAAAGCCGUAGAGAUCUGGAGGAACAUCAGUGGCGAAGGCGACUAUCUGGCACAUGACUGACGCUGAGGAGCGAAAGCGUGGGUAGCAAACAGGAUUAGAUACCCUGGUAGUC